UGCCAGCUGACGAGUCCCAAAUAGGACGAAACGCGCGUCCUGGAU
This 45-nucleotide non-coding RNA is filed under the name Schistosoma mansoni. The record is from RNAcentral. Lineage: Eukaryota; Metazoa; Platyhelminthes; Trematoda; Strigeidida; Schistosomatidae.